RNAcentral lists this ribosomal RNA (404 nucleotides) under uncultured bacterium. RNAcentral describes it as "partial 16S ribosomal RNA". It matches the Rfam family "Bacterial small subunit ribosomal RNA", at positions 959 to 1353 of the family's 1533-position model. The record is from RNAcentral.
GCGGGAAUAGCUUUUAACCAGGGUUUUGAAUUUUUUUUGAUGGGCUUAAAAGAUUAGGGUUUUUCCAUUGGGGGACAAAAUAAGAGGGGGUGGCAUGGUUGAUGUACAAUUGUGUUCGUGAGAAGGUUGGGUUAAGUCCCGCAAGGAGGCCAACCCUUAUGACUAGUUCCCAGCAUUUAGUGGGGCACCCUAGUAAGACUGCGGGUGACAAACCGGAGAGGGGGGGGGAAGACAUAAAAAUCAUCCUCCCCUUUAUGACUGGGGCAACACAUGUGCUACAAUGGAUGGUACAACGAGUUGCGAGACCGCGAGGUCAAGCUAAUCUCUUAAAGCCGUUCUCAGUUCGGAUUGUAGGCUGCAACUCGCCUACAUGAAGUUGGAAUCGGUAGUAAUCGUGGAUCAGC